UAAUCAUUUGUCUAUUAAUUGUAGACUUGCAUGAAAGGCAUCAUGAGAGUCCAACUGUCUCUUAUAACAAAUCAAUUAAACUGAUCUCCCAGUACAAAAGCUGGAAUCCCCCUAUAAGACCAGAAGACCCUGUGAAGCUUCAAUUAAACUAUUAAACUUUAUAAUAACUAAUUUCGGUUGGGGCGACCUUGGAACAAAAAAGAACUUCCAAAUACGUGAUAUUACCUCACAACGGCUGACAAGCCCACAGACCCAGUACUACUGAUUAAUGAACUAAGUUACUCCAGGGAUAACAGCGCUAUCUUCUUUAAGAGCCCAUAUCAAAAAGAAGGUUUACGACCUCGAUGUUGGAUCAGGACAUCCUAGUAAUGCAACCGUUUCUAAGGGUU
Molecule: ribosomal RNA, 389 nt
Filed under: Causus resimus
Lineage: Eukaryota; Metazoa; Chordata; Lepidosauria; Squamata; Viperidae
Description: partial 16S ribosomal RNA
Rfam family: Bacterial large subunit ribosomal RNA
Source: RNAcentral